UGUUUGGUAGAUAAUUACUUGAAUUGCAAUCCUUGUCCCCAAAAUAAAGUGUUUUUAAAGUGUUGGACAAAUCCACCAGUCGAAAAAUCCAUCUCUCCUAAUGAUGGCUCCACUUUGACCUCUUUUCCAGUUUCACGGAGGUUCCAUCUCCAAGGGCUCAGAGUUGCAAAUUGAGGUUGCCAAAUUCUUCUGGAAAGACGUUCAGCUUGAUGGCAGCAUGAUCAUUAUUGCUGAAAAUGUGAUGGCUGCUAUGGGGACUGAUGAAAGUGGGGAACCUGUAUUAGAGUAUGGUCACAGAUGUGCAAGGUGUAAGUUGCAGAACGUCAGGGUACUGAACAAAGGAAUUGACUGGGAAUCUGAAGGAAAUAUCUUCUGGAGGCAUGAGAUUCAUCGAGAUGAGUGUUUGAAGAUUAUGCUGCAUGGAAAUGCUUAAUUUGAGGCUACUGAUGUUACUCUUGAGGGGAAUCAUGUUUUUGAGGUUCCUGAUGGUUGUAGGUUGAAGGUUACCUCAACAAAUCCAGGUGUAUCAAUGCAAUUAGAACCCAUCGAAGAUGCAAAGAAAGAUACGGGAAGCUGGUAUUGGAGUUACAAGAUAGAUGGACCUCAUGUAAAGUUGGAAAUGGUAGAAUCUUAAAGGACAUAUAGCAUAUAUCUCUAUAGCUGAUGUGAAUAAUUGUUCACAGAACU
Molecule: long non-coding RNA, 687 nt
Organism: Amaranthus tricolor (Joseph's coat)
Lineage: Eukaryota; Viridiplantae; Streptophyta; Magnoliopsida; Caryophyllales; Amaranthaceae
Exons: 5
Source: RefSeq, a predicted model, not a curated record